Molecule: long non-coding RNA, 653 nt
Organism: Talpa occidentalis (Iberian mole)
Lineage: Eukaryota; Metazoa; Chordata; Mammalia; Eulipotyphla; Talpidae
Exons: 3
Source: RefSeq, a predicted model, not a curated record
GCGCCAUCGCCUCGUGCUGUUCGAGGCGCUCUCAAGGCCGCGGCCUCCCUCGUGGGGGGCAGUUCCUGCCUCUGGGGUGACCUGGACUGAAGCCCGUGAAGCCUGUGGCCGGCUUAGACCCCUCCAGGACAGAAGUCCAGCCCCCCAUGACAGCCUGCGCCACUCGCCCUCUGGAGAGCCGAACCCCCUGAUGAGGAGCUCCAAGUAAGGCCCACAGCAUGGGGACAAGGGAGCUGUCACUUAAGCUGUGCACCUACAAAGAACACCACCAACCCAGAAAAACGCUCAAUAGCAUAAGCCAGGAUGAUUGAAGACUAUGAACAUCUUUUGUUUUCCACAAAUGUAUAAGCCCAAGAGUUGUUGCAUAAGACAAGGGAGAAACAGAGGGCAUUCAGAAAAUUAAAUUACAUCCUGUCUCUCGGUAAACGUGGUAAUGGGGUGCUGGACUGCAGUCUGUGUGGUAUGGUAGUUUCCCUCCUGUGAGGUAGUGCAUAGGCAGUUGGGACUCGGGGAGAUGAUAGUCUAAUAUGGGGCUAGCAUUGCUUUCUUUGGUGAUAGGUUUUACACCACCAGUGAUUCUGGCAGGACACAAAUUCCAUUUGCACAAAUGAAGUGAAGUCCUAAGGAGUGGUGUGUCCCGUCCCACCUCUCUU